GGGCGCCGGGCUGGGGCCGCAAAGGUCCCAGGGAAUUGGGGGGGGGCGCUCCCACAUUUUCCCCGCAAAGCCUUACCGCAAACGCCGCCUUCUCCAAAAAUACCCAUUUAAAAAUAAAUAUACAUAUAUAUAUAGAAUAACCGGGGGGGUCCCGCGAGCAGCCGCUUGCUCAGCACCGCCUUGCCACCCCCACCCCCCCCACCCCCCCGCCACCGGGGCCGGUGCCCCGGGCUCCCGGCAGGUUCCCACGGUGCCGCCCGCCCCCGGGCCGCCCCCCGCCCCGGGGAGGGGGCACCCCCGCCCGCCCUGCGCACCCGGUCCUCGCCCUCCAUCUCCCCUCACGUUCUCUUCCCUUAGUUUCCUUUAUUUUCUCCUUUUUUCUCCCUUUUUCUUUUUUUCUCACGUUUUUCCCGUUUUUCUUUUUUUUUUUCACCCCCCCCCCCCCCCCUCCCCGGAACAUGAAAUUCUCUCCGGGCCGCCCCUCCUCUCCCGGGCCCCGCGGAGGCGGCGGGGAGCGGGCAGGAGGCAGCGGAGCGGUGCGGAGCUCACAGCCCCUGGCCCUGCACCGGGCAUUGCCCCCCCCGGGGAUGCAGAGCCCUCCAGGAACUGGAAAAUCCGGAUUUGCAGCAUCUCCCAGGGAAAGAUGAUUUCCUACGUGCCCCCCCAGCGCGAGGGUCCUGCUGAAGGUUAAACUCGCGAGUGCCUCUGGUUUUGCACCACGUUAAUCUCCCCCCAAAAUAAAAAGACCCAAGGGAAUGCCGGUGAGAACUGCCCCCAUGUUGCCAGCUGUCCCUGGCUUCCGUCCCAUCCCUCUUCCAGAGCCCGGCACAGAUUUCACCACCGCUGCUGGCAUUAAAUGUUUGUCCCCACACCGUGCUGUGGUCUGCUUCGGCUUUCCUGCCUGAAAACAAGGUAAACCCAUCUGCCUCCCCGGGGUACAUUAUCAUGGCUUAAAAUUAACACUCACAAAUGUAUUUUCAAAUCCCUUCAUGAAAGGCGCCAGAAGUGCUAGGUGUUAUUAGAAUAGAUCUUUCGCCUUUUAACAGCUGUUAAUUGCCAUUAAAACCAAACAUCCACA
Long non-coding RNA from Falco peregrinus (peregrine falcon), 1078 nucleotides. RefSeq lists it as uncharacterized. The record is from RefSeq and is a predicted model, not a curated record. The transcript is spliced from 2 exons. Lineage: Eukaryota; Metazoa; Chordata; Aves; Falconiformes; Falconidae.